ACUAGACACGGAUUUUCGAAAUAAUUAUAGUGUCAUAAUAACAACAUAUUAUAAUAUGAUGAACCUAUUGUCUUACGUUUUUGAGCAUUUUAUAAAGCCAACCAAAUGUUAACCACAUAAAAACUAACAAGACACGAAAAUUAGAAACAGCUAUAAAUAGCACGAAAAUUGCCAGAAAUACAGAUGUUACGUGAAUGAAAUAUUCCCGUUAUCCCGAUUUUUUUUCUCGACUAUAACAUACUGCAAGGAAAACCAAAGAAUGAUCUUCCCAACGCAUUAUUUAGACAACAUUUUCUAUGUCCCUAAAGUCGACGAUUAGAACAAGAAUUCUGGCCUAAAAGUUGAUUGGACAGAAAACAAAACCGCACGCAUA
Cinara cedri is the source of this 373-nucleotide non-coding RNA. NCBI's taxonomy places the organism in Eukaryota, Metazoa, Arthropoda, Insecta, Hemiptera, Aphididae. The record is from the annotation of a GenBank genome assembly.